GUGUUAGUGAUAUGGACACACACAUACACGUAGGUGAAAUAGUGUGUGUUUUCAUCAGUCACAUGUAAAAGGACAGUGUCACCCAGCCUUCACACACCAGGCCUAUUGUCAGAGCGUCCUUUGAAGAGCUGACGUCAUGGCCUGUGCUAGGAGGGAAGAGGACUGGGCACGGGGCAUGAGCAAGUGGGACUGAGUUAGCAACAUCGAGGAACAACUUAACAACAUCAAAAUGAGUGUCAACACUGUGAGGUUUGCUGUGGGUGUACUUGGUGUCUUUGGAUGGUCUCUGACACUCUCCUCAGCCACCCAAGUGGGUCUGAGCGACAAAGUCCUGGUGUUUCCUUAUGAAACAGACUUUAGCUUUGUGGCCCUGAUCCCGCAGAAGGAGAUGGGGCUGAGGGCCUUCACUCUCUGCAUGCGUGUGGCCACUGAGCUGCCGGAAGAACGUCAGAUCAUCCUGUUCGCCUACCGCACCGCUGACUACGACGAGCUCAACGUAUGGCGUGAGCAAGACGGACGCAUCUCCUUUUACAUGAGCGGUGACGGCACCUUCUUCCACCUGCCGCCCCUUACCACCUUCCGCACCAGCCUCUGCCUGACCUGGGAGUCUCGCACGGGCCUCACUGCUUUCUGGGUGGAAGGGAAACGCAGCACCUACCAGGUCUACAAACCUGGGCACAGCAUCCGUCCAAAAGGCACCGUCCUCCUGGGCCAGGACCCAGACAAACACCUGGGAGGUUUAGAGGCCGUGCAGAGCUUUGUAGGGGAGAUAACAGAUCUGAAUAUGUGGGACUUUGUGCUCUCCAGGAGCAUGAUCCAGGCCUGGCACUAUGGGCACAAGGUCCCCAAGGGCAACAUCUUUGACUGGGGCAAUAUGGAGUAUGAGCUGAACGGUAACGUGAUGGUGGUGGAUGAUGACUGACUCAAUGUAGAGUCGAAUGCAGAGAGGGAUUUAGAGGUCUGUGUUGGACUCAUACUGAUAUGUGUAAUUUUCUUUCUUAGAUACAGUGUUCCUUUAUGUUAGGGCUCUUCAACUGUUCUUCCAUAAAGUCCACAUGUCUCUGUUUCAAUGUUGCAGGAAGAACCUCUUAAUAGGUAAAGGAAAUAGAAAGGAUGACUAUGCUCCUCUAUGUAACCUGUAACUAUCUUCAGCAGCAAAAUGCACCGGCAACAAAAGCCAAUACUUGGUGGUACACAGAAGUCAGUUGUUUUGCAUCAGUAACCAUUUGCUAAAUAGUUUAGGAUCAAUAUCAUUCUUCUAAUGUUUGUGUUUUUUUUAACUAGUCCUUUUUGUAUCUCAAAGCUUCAUCUUUAUACACAAAAUGUUGAUGUGCCAAAUGUAUCCAUAGGGUGGCACUCUGUACUAGUUCAUAUCAAACAGAAACUCUGUCAAGUGAAGCAUUGUCAUGCAUCCUCUAAUGUGAUUUGGCAUAGUUGUGAACUGAGGUUAUAAACGAGGCUACCAAAAAGUGACUAAAAUGUUGCUGCUAUAAGAGCAAAUUUCAACAAAUAAUAUGCAUUUAAAUGAUCAACUGCAAUGUAACUGUAACUUAAAAAUGUACAGGUAAAAAUUGAUUUAAAAAAAUCUUUUUGUCUGAUUUGAACAUAUUGUAACAACAAUAUAUAUAUAUAUAUAUAUAUAUAUAUAUAUAUAAAUUAAACCUGCUAUAAUGCAUGCAAUUAGUACACAUUUGUUUUGUACAAUGCUAUUGAUGAUGAGGAUGUAAAAGGGAAAAUAAAACAGCAAACUGGGAGAUACAUUAAUUCUACUGUAGACUUAAUGAUUUAACUGCACUCAGAGACAAAUAACAAUUAUCAUGUUUAAUAUCCAUCGCCAUAAUGUUGCCUUCGGUUAGUGUACUCACUCAUGAAUUUUCCAUGUUUCGACUGAUGUAAGAAUGCUUUUGGGUCUGAAAUAAAAUCUUGCCAUGUGCAUAACUAAUAAUGUUUGUAAUUAAAGAGAAUAUUUCGUCUUUGAA
Molecule: RNA transcript, 1979 nt
Organism: Sander lucioperca (pikeperch)
Lineage: Eukaryota; Metazoa; Chordata; Actinopteri; Perciformes; Percidae
Gene: crp1
Gene name: C-reactive protein 1
Exons: 4
Source: RefSeq, a predicted model, not a curated record